AUUGAACGCUGGCGGCAUGCUUUACACAUGCGAGUCGAACGGUAACAGGCCUUCGGGUGCUGACGAGUGGCGAACGGGUGAGUAAUGCAUCGGAACGUGCCCAGAGGUGGGGGAUAACGCAGCGAAAGCUGUGCUAAUACCGCAGGUGAUCUGAGGAUGAAAGCAGGGGACCAGGCAGCAAGGUUUGGCCUCGCGCCUUUGGAGCGGCCGAUGUCAGAUUAGGUAGUUGGUGGGGUAAAGGCCUACCAAGCCGACGAUCUGUAGCUGGUCUGAGAGGACGACCAGCCACACUGGGACUGAGACACGGCCGCGACUCCUACGGGAGGAAGCAGUGGGGAAUUCUGGACGAUGGGCGCAAGCCUGAUCCAGCAAUGCCGCGUGAGGGAAGAAGGCCUUCGGGUUGUAAACCGCUUUUGUACGGAACGAAAAGGCUCUGGCUAAUACCUGGGGCUGAUGACGGUACCGUAAGAAUAAGCACCGGCUAACUACGUG
Molecule: ribosomal RNA, 492 nt
Filed under: uncultured bacterium
Lineage: Bacteria
Description: partial 16S ribosomal RNA
Rfam family: Bacterial small subunit ribosomal RNA
Source: RNAcentral